This 1317-nucleotide ribosomal RNA is filed under the name Triticum aestivum (bread wheat). RNAcentral describes it as "partial small subunit ribosomal RNA". The record is from RNAcentral. Lineage: Eukaryota; Viridiplantae; Streptophyta; Magnoliopsida; Poales; Poaceae.
AUGGGGGCGCGACUAGCGCCCGGGAGCCUAAGAAUCUCCCCAAACAAAUCCGGGAGGUUGUCAUGGCACCAAUUGCCACCAACUACUCCCCGGAAGCAACUCCAUAGGAACUGCGCCGCAGGGCAACGGAAGAAGAUGUGGUUGCAGUCUUCCGGAACCAAACAAAUGGGACAGAGGCCAUCCCCAGGGCCAUUACGUUUUCGGACCUCCGUGCCCGAGGGCAGGCGACCUCGGACCCAUUGCCAGAUAAAUAUGUGGAUUUUCAAGGGGAGUUUGAUCUCCCAGAGCACCGAGAGCUCCACCAGAGCAGGGGUGGGAAUAAUCGCCUGGUAUAGUGAUCUAGUCGAGAAUCUACCGGCUCGAGAUGCCAAGACAGCGAGUCGGGUUCCAGGGAGGGGGAGUGGAGGGCAAUACACUAAAGAAAUUCAUCCCAUUGCUCGAGUUCCACCGCCCCGAAGCCAGAAUAAGGUGGAUGAUCCGGAGCCAACUCUAUUGGAGGUCCCAAUGCGCAAGACCGGGGCUUCGGCCUCACUGUCCGGAGGCGUGAACUCAUCGAAGUAUUUGCGUGAGGAGGAGAUUGACAUUGUGGGCUUGCAAGAGACGAUUCGCCAAGACUUUAGUAUGCAUGAGCUCCAUGGGCUGUCCCGCCACCAGUUUGCCUGGCAGUGGUUACCUUCUUCGGGGAAGUCUGGUGGCAUUUUUCUCGGAGGUCGGGAGGAUGUUUUCUCGGUUGAGGAUAUGGACCGAGGGGGAUUCUUCCUGAGCAUGUCCGUUACUGACCGACGAGUGCACCUCAGCUGGGAGGUGAUUUUUGUCUAUGGUCCUGUUGAUCAUGCUCGCUCUGCUAGCUUCCUCGCCGAGCUUAAAAAUAAGGUGGACAGGUGCACCACCCCGGUGGUGGUGGCCGGUGACUUCAACCUCAUUAGGUGGGCUUCUAACCUUGCGCUCCGUGAGAUAGCCCGCGUAGGGGCUAGGUUCACGUGGACGAAUAAGCAGGGGGACCCCAUCCGGAGUGUCUUGGAUCGGGUUUUUGUGUCGGCUCAGUCGGAGGUGAUGUUCCCACUGUGCUCUCUCAAGGUGGUCACUCGGAUUGGCUCCAAUCAUACCCCUCUGCUGUCCUCAUCGGGGGAUGAGGCCCCCCCUAGGACUUGUCGCUUCUGCUUCGAGAUGUUUUGGUUGGAGCAACCGAGUUUCUUUGAGAUGGUUCGCGACCGCUGGCUAGAGGCGGCCGCGUCCCCGCCCCGUGUGUUUUCUUCUGUGGAUGUCUGGCAUCACUACGCGAAACUAUCUCGUCAGGCCAUGAAGGGCUGGGGGUGA